UUGGCGGACGGGUGAGUAACGCGUGGGUAACCUGCCUCACACUGGGGGAUAACAGUUAGAAAUAGCUGCUAAUACCGCAUAAGCGCACAGGACCGCAUGGUCUAGUGUGAAAAACUCCGGUGGUGUGAGAUGGACCCGCGUUUGAUUAGCUAGUUGGUGGGGUAACGGCCUACCAAGGCGACGAUCAAUAGCCGACCUGAGAGGGUGACCGGCCACAUUGGGACUGAGACACGGCCCAA
RNAcentral lists this ribosomal RNA (239 nucleotides) under uncultured bacterium. RNAcentral describes it as "partial 16S ribosomal RNA". It matches the Rfam family "Bacterial small subunit ribosomal RNA", at positions 95 to 334 of the family's 1533-position model. The record is from RNAcentral.